UCUACCCAAUUUACCCCAAUUGUGGUGUGGCUGACUGUUUGUUAGUUAGCCUCUGGCUUGUCUGGUUAAUCAGCCUGCCAGUACUCAUAGUGUGCAAUGACGUGAAGUUGGUAUCGAGGCCAACGAGAAGUCGCACGCUUGAUGAGUGAAGGGAUUGCUGGAACGGACGGAUUAUGAGUCGUCCAGGCGAGAUGCCUCCUCAAUUCCUAAGACUGCCAUUGACUUGACCGAAGCGAUUGUCUGUAAAGAUAAUAACUGCU
This 260-nucleotide unclassified non-coding RNA is filed under the name soil metagenome. Its description in RNAcentral is "partial internal transcribed spacer 1". The record is from RNAcentral.